UUUACUCCUACAUACUUUUCUAUCUCUAUCUACAUCUCAUCUUCAUCAUCAUCAUCAACAAUCACUCUUCUAUUCCUCUUUCUAAUUCUAAGCUUUCUGUUUCUAAUUUGUUACUCAUGUAUAGAAGAAGAGGAAGUAUGCAUAGAGGACUUCUCUUUAUGAUCACUAACUCUCUUAUAUUCCUCUCUUUCUUUAUCUCUCUCUCACUUAUAUCUCUCUUGCACACACAAACAGACACAUGUUCAUCAAGAACACUUGUCUUUCUUUCUCUAAACUUAAACAUAUUCUUAGUAUUGUAUACAUACACACACAAACACAUGUACAUGAGAAAUAUAUGUGUAUAUAUAUAUGUAGACUUGUAUUAAUUUCUUUAUCUCUAAAGUUUGGUGUUGUUGGUUAUAAUUGGUUAUAAGAGGGAAGAGAAGGCAUGGUGAUGGUGAUGGUGCUGCUGCUGCUGCUGCUGCUGCUGCUGUUGACAGAAGAUAGAGAGCACAGAUGAUGAAUUGCAUGGAGCUGUGCAUGCAUCUCUUUCCUUUGUGCUCUCUAUGCUUCUGUCAUCACCUUCAUGAGCCCCUCCCUAACUAUACAUAUAUAUAUAUAUAUAUAUAUAUAUCUAUGGAAUAUGUUUCUUUUUAAAUUAAUAUGUUGGUAGACUUGUUCUUAAUUUAUAUUUUUUGGUUCUUAGAUCAUAUGGCAGUCAUGUGCUUAUUAAACUCAAUUCUGAUACUUGUCAUACAUAUGUUUUAUGUUGUCUGUAAGGUUUCCACUGCCAGUGGCAAACAAGGUGAAUUUUUGAAGAAGAGACAAGGUGGGAGAGAGGAAUAUAUGUAUGCAUACAAGUACAACAGCUAUUCAUAAUAUAAAAAGCUGGGAAGCUAGGCUCAGGCUGUGUUCAACUUGGCCACAAGUUUUGCUUUACGAAAUGGGCCAGCGUGGAAAAGGACAAAUGAACAGAAAGAGUUUCUGACAGUGAUAUCAUAUUUAAUAUAUAAAACAAAUCAUCAUCAUCAUCAACAUCAUUAUGAUUAUCAAUCAAAAA
Long non-coding RNA from Dioscorea cayenensis subsp. rotundata (Guinea yam), 1039 nucleotides. RefSeq lists it as uncharacterized. The record is from RefSeq and is a predicted model, not a curated record. The transcript is spliced from 2 exons. NCBI's taxonomy places the organism in Eukaryota, Viridiplantae, Streptophyta, Magnoliopsida, Dioscoreales, Dioscoreaceae.